UAUGAUAAACCUAUGAAAGGAAGAAAAAUUUAUUGGAUGAAGGCAGGAAUAUUAGAAUCAGACUGCAUCUUAACCAUGAGCCCAUAUUAUGCUACAGAGCUUCUUUCAGGUCCAAAAAAAAAGUGUUGAAUUGGAUAACAUUCUUCCCAAGACUGACAUCAUCGAGAUUGUGAAUGGGAUGGAUGUUCAAGAAUGAAAUCCAGCAACAAACAGACAUAUCAGUGUCAAUUACGAUGCAACAACUGUGAGAUCUUCCUAAGAUGUCACUGCAACCUAAUCAUCUCAUUGUAAAUUUUGUCAUUGAAGAACACUUUCAGAAAACUGGCAAGAAGAAAAUGGAGCAAUAGCCUAAGUAGUUAGAAGUGAAGUAUCCAAACAAGGCUCGAGGAAUUGCAAAGUUCAAUGUUCCCUUGGCACAUAUGAUGCAAGCUGGAGCUAAUUUUAUCAUUAUUCCUAGUAGAUUUGAACCAUGCGGUCUUAUCCAAAUGCAAGGCAUGCAAGAUGGAAUGAAUGAUACAACAAUUUUACCUAUUAAAAAGGAGAACAAAGAGAAAAAGAAACCAGCAUUAUUGUUCUUUUGGUGUUAAAGCUCAAAAUGCGACACAUUUCUCUGGUAUGAAGCUUCAUCUUUUAAGACAGGGUAAUUGUGCAAAUGAUAUACAAGACAAUGCCUAAAGACUAAUGAUAAGUGGAAUCUAUUGUGGUUGCUUAUUUGUGCCUCCACUGGUGGACCGUCGAUAUGGUGAAAGAAGGUGUAAUUGGAUUUCAUAUGGGAGCAUUUAGUGUCAAUUGUGAUGCUGUUGAUCCGGUGGAUGUAACAGCAGUUGCAUCCACUGUCAAAAAGGAUUACAGCGUCAGGCUUGUCAGGGGCGGUGAUGACGACAUCGAGCUAGUCGGGGGCGGUGAUAAAUUAGUUCUCCAUUCAAUUGGAGCAAUAAAUUAUGGUAACAUAAGCACUAUUUUAUCAAUAUGUUAAACUAAGGAGCUUGUGGAAUGUCAGCAUGCUAUAG
This is a non-coding RNA of Elaeis guineensis (African oil palm), 1010 nucleotides long. Lineage: Eukaryota; Viridiplantae; Streptophyta; Magnoliopsida; Arecales; Arecaceae. The record is from RefSeq and is a predicted model, not a curated record.